This 844-nucleotide non-coding RNA is filed under the name Trapezia formosa. The record is from RNAcentral. Lineage: Eukaryota; Metazoa; Arthropoda; Malacostraca; Decapoda; Trapeziidae.
AUAAAGUUUGAUUCUUUCUUGUUUUUUUUAUGUAUUUACUGAAAUUGCAUGAGAAUAGUAGUAUGUACGGAUUAUGUCUUUUAAAAGGAGUAAAUAGGAAGAGAAUAAAGCAGAAUAAAUUAUCGAUAAAAUGUAAAUGCUCAGCAUAUAAUAUUAAUUAUUUUGAGAAAUUAAGAGUUAGCAUGUAAAGAUAGAUCUGAUGAAACAUUGUGCCAGCAGUCGCGGUUAUACAUUAAGGUCGAGUAAAAAUCAAAUAUUGUUUAGUUAAAUUUAAAUGAAUUUAGUUAUAAGAUUACUUAAAAAUUUGGAGGUAAAAUUAAAGAUUUUUAAAGUUAAUAAUUAGAUAAAAAUUGAAGCUAGAAAAAUUUAGGCUUAAACUAGGAUUAGAUACCCUACUAUACUAAAAAUGAAUUUCAAAAAGUUGAUUAUUAUUAGGUAUAUACUUUAAAUUUGAAGAAUUUGGCGGUAGUUUAGUCUUGUUAGAGGAACCUGUUUUAUUAAAUCGAUAAACCGCGUAAAAUCUUGCUUCUUUUUGUUAGAGCAGCUUAUAUACCGUCAUUAACAGAUAAUUUUAUGAGAAUUAAUUGUUGGAAUUUAUGAAAAUAUAAAUAAAAUUAGAUCAAGGUGUAGUCUAUAAAGAAGCUAAAAUGGGUUACAAUAAAAAUUUGUUUAAAACGUAUUUAUAGGGCAAAGUCUAUAAUGAAGGAGGAUUUAAUUGUAAUUAUAAAUUAAUACAUUAUGAUGAUAUACAGCACUAAAUUAUGUACAUAUUGCCCGUCGCUUUCAUUAAAAGAUGAGAUAAGUCGUAACAUAGUAGGUUUAUUGGAAAUUGAACCUAGAUUGU